UUAAGUUAUUAAGGGCGCACGGUGGAUGCCUUGGCACUAGAAGCCGAUGAAGGACGUUACUAACGACGAUAUGCUUUGGGGAGCUGUAAGUAAGCUUUGAUCCAGAGAUUUCCGAAUGGGGAAACCCAGCAUGAGUUAUGUCAUGUUAUCGAUAUGUGAAUACAUAGCAUGUCAGAAGGCACACCCGGAGAACUGAAACAUCUUAGUACCCGGAGGAAGAGAAAGAAAAUUCGAUUCCCUUAGUAGCGGCGAGCGAAACGGGAAGAGCCCAAACCAACAAGCUUGCUUGUUGGGGUUGUAGGACACUCUAUACGGAGUUACAAAGGACGACAUUAGACGAAUCAUCUGGAAAGAUGAAUCAAAGAAGGUAAUAAUCCUGUAGUCGAAAAUGUUGUCUCUCUUGAGUGGAUCCUGAGUACGACGGAGCACGUGAAAUUCCGUCGGAAUCUGGGAGGACCAUCUCCUAAGGCUAAAUACUCUCUAGUGACCGAUAGUGAACCAGUACCGUGAGGGAAAGGUGAAAAGCACCCCGGAAGGGGAGUGAAAUAGAACCUGAAACCGUGUGCUUACAAGUAGUCAGAGCCCGUUAAUGGGUGAUGGCGUGCCUUUUGUAGAAUGAACCGGCGAGUUACGAUUUGAUGCAAGGUUAAGCAGUAAAUGUGGAGCCGUAGCGAAAGCGAGUCUGAAUAGGGCGUUUAGUAUUUGGUCGUAGACCCGAAACCAGGUGAUCUACCCUUGGUCAGGUUGAAGUUCAGGUAACACUGAAUGGAGGACCGAACCGACUUACGUUGAAAAGUGAGCGGAUGAACUGAGGGUAGCGGAGAAAUUCCAAUCGAACCUGGAGAUAGCUGGUUCUCUCCGAAAUAGCUUUAGGGCUAGCCUCAAGUGAUGAUUAUUGGAGGUAGAGCACUGUUUGGACGAGGGGCCCCUCUCGGGUUACCGAAUUCAGACAAACUCCGAAUGCCAAUUAAUUUAACUUGGGAGUCAGAACAUGGGUGAUAAGGUCCGUGUUCGAAAGGGAAACAGCCCAGACCACCAGCUAAGGUCCCAAAAUAUAUGUUAAGUGGAAAAGGAUGUGGCGUUGCCCAGACAACUAGGAUGUUGGCUUAGAAGCAGCCAUCAUUUAAAGAGUGCGUAAUAGCUCACUAGUCGAGUGACACUGCGCCGAAAAUGUACCGGGGCUAAACAUAUUACCGAAGCUGUGGAUUGUCCUUUGGACAAUGGUAGGAGAGCGUUCUAAGGGCGUUGAAGCAUGAUCGUAAGGACAUGUGGAGCGCUUAGAAGUGAGAAUGCCGGUGUGAGUAGCGAAAGACGGGUGAGAAUCCCGUCCACCGAUUGACUAAGGUUUCCAGAGGAAGGCUCGUCCGCUCUGGGUUAGUCGGGUCCUAAGCUGAGGCCGACAGGCGUAGGCGAUGGAUAACAGGUUGAUAUUCCUGUACCACCUAUAAUCGUUUUAAUCGAUGGGGGGGACGCAGUAGGAUAGGCGAAGCGUGCGAUUGGAUUGCACGUCUAAGCAGUAAGGCUGAGUAUUAGGCAAAUCCGGUACUCGUUAAGGCUGAGCUGUGAUGGGGAGAAGACAUUGUGUCUUCGAGUCGUUGAUUUCACACUGCCGAGAAAAGCCUCUAGAUAGAAAAUAGGUGCCCGUACCGCAAACCGACACAGGUAGUCAAGAUGAGAAUUCUAAGGUGAGCGAGCGAACUCUCGUUAAGGAACUCGGCAAAAUGACCCCGUAACUUCGGGAGAAGGGGUGCUCUUUAGGGUUAACGCCCAGAAGAGCCGCAGUGAAUAGGCCCAAGCGACUGUUUAUCAAAAACACAGGUCUCUGCUAAACCGUAAGGUGAUGUAUAGGGGCUGACGCCUGCCCGGUGCUGGAAGGUUAAGAGGAGUGGUUAGCUUCUGCGAAGCUACGAAUCGAAGCCCCAGUAAACGGCGGCCGUAACUAUAACGGUCCUAAGGUAGCGAAAUUCCUUGUCGGGUAAGUUCCGACCCGCACGAAAGGCGUAACGAUUUGGGCACUGUCUCAACGAGAGACUCGGUGAAAUCAUAGUACCUGUGAAGAUGCAGGUUACCCGCGACAGGACGGAAAGACCCCGUGGAGCUUUACUGUAGCCUGAUAUUGAAAUUCGGCACAGCUUGUACAGGAUAGGUAGGAGCCUUUGAAACGUGAGCGCUAGCUUACGUGGAGGCGCUGGUGGGAUACUACCCUAGCUGUGUUGGCUUUCUAACCCGCACCACUUAUCGUGGUGGGAGACAGUGUCAGGCGGGCAGUUUGACUGGGGCGGUCGCCUCCUAAAAGGUAACGGAGGCGCUCAAAGGUUCCCUCAGAAUGGUUGGAAAUCAUUCAUAGAGUGUAAAGGCAUAAGGGAGCUUGACUGCGAGACCUACAAGUCGAGCAGGGUCGAAAGACGGACUUAGUGAUCCGGUGGUUCCGCAUGGAAGGGCCAUCGCUCAACGGAUAAAAGCUACCCCGGGGAUAACAGGCUUAUCUCCCCCAAGAGUUCACAUCGACGGGGAGGUUUGGCACCUCGAUGUCGGCUCAUCGCAUCCUGGGGCUGUAGUCGGUCCCAAGGGUUGGGCUGUUCGCCCAUUAAAGCGGUACGCGAGCUGGGUUCAGAACGUCGUGAGACAGUUCGGUCCCUAUCCGUCGUGGGCGUAGGAAAUUUGAGAGGAGCUGUCCUUAGUACGAGAGGACCGGGAUGGACAUACCUCUGGUGUACCAGUUGUCGUGCCAACGGCAUAGCUGGGUAGCUAUGUGUGGACGGGAUAAGUGCUGAAAGCAUCUAAGCAUGAAGCCCCCCUCAAGAUGAGAUUUCCCAACUUCGGUUAUAAGAUCCCUCAAAGAUGAUGAGGUUAAUAGGUUCGAGGUGGAAGCAUGGUGACAUGUGGAGCUGACGAAUACUAAUCGAUCGAAGACUUAAUCAA
Molecule: ribosomal RNA, 2922 nt
Filed under: Staphylococcus aureus
Lineage: Bacteria; Bacillati; Bacillota; Bacilli; Caryophanales; Staphylococcaceae
Description: bacterial LSU rRNA
Rfam family: Bacterial large subunit ribosomal RNA
Source: RNAcentral